Molecule: long non-coding RNA, 739 nt
Filed under: Phasianus colchicus (ring-necked pheasant)
Lineage: Eukaryota; Metazoa; Chordata; Aves; Galliformes; Phasianidae
Description: lncRNA (ENSPCLG00000013036.1)
Source: RNAcentral
AUGAGACUGGCUUUGGGUAUUGAAUUUCUAUCUCAUGCUGUACUUUGCAUCCAAGCAAGGAACCUCCUAACACCUUACCAAAGGCUGAAGGAGAUGCGAUGCCUCAGAACAGCUGGCUCUGCCUACAGAUUUGGCAUCCACUGCUCCUCUUGGAGCCCAGGAGAUGAAAGAGAAGUGCCAGAGGUACCACACAGCUGGAAGCUCGACUCGCAGGCAGACACAAAAGUGGAACAGGGAAGCAGGAGAGAAGAAACGCUCCUUUGUCUCGUGGUUGAACUGGUUGCCCUUGCUGGGACACAAGCAGUUCAUCUGGGCAGAGAAACCCACUGGCCCACUUGGCAUCCUGCGGCUCUUGGCACGCGUUAAACAGAAACAAAACUGUGCUCUGCUACUGAUGAUCCUCACAGCAGAAUCUCUGUGCUGUUUUCAGCCUGAGCGAAGGGGAGGAGAGGAAGGCUGCUGAAGAAUGGUAGUGAGACACAGAAACUUCUCAGUGUGGCUGUUAAUGUGUUCAGGUGGUGGAAAACUACAGAGGGAGGAUGUGGGCUGAAUGCAGCUAUAAUGGACUGGAAUUCGUGACACGGAGUAACUUGUUGGCUUUGUAAAAUGGAAUCACUUCCUAACUGUAACGAGCAAUCUUGGACAUGAUCAUUUUGGGAUACCAAAGCACUGGCUGCUACAUGAGUACUUGUAAUCCUCGUUGCAUAAUAGUGUCUGUAAAAAGCUUUUAAAAGGAAAU